RNAcentral lists this ribosomal RNA (353 nucleotides) under uncultured bacterium. RNAcentral's name for it is "bacterial SSU rRNA". It matches the Rfam family "Bacterial small subunit ribosomal RNA", at positions 534 to 884 of the family's 1533-position model. The record is from RNAcentral.
GCAAGCGUUAUCCGGAAUUAUUGGGCGUAAAGAGCUCGUAGGCGGUUUGUCGCGUCUGCCGUGAAAGUCCGGGGCUCAACUCCGGAUCUGCGGUGGGUACGGGCAGACUAGAGUGAUGUAGGGGAGACUGGAAUUCCUGGUGUAGCGGUGAAAUGCGCAGAUAUCAGGAGGAACACCGAUGGCGAAGGCAGGUCUCUGGGCAUUAACUGACGCUGAGGAGCGAAAGCAUGGGGAGCGAACAGGAUUAGAUACCCUGGUAGUCCAUGCCGUAAACGUUGGGCACUAGGUGUGGGGGACAUUCCACGUUUUCCGCGCCGUAGCUAACGCAUUAAGUGCCCCGCCUGGGGAGUACG